UUUCUUUGUGUGAUUUGGCACUUUCGAGUCAGAUCUUGGAGAAGCCACUUGGGCUUACUAUUCUACUACUUUUUGCUGAACCUGGACAUGGCUUCAUACUCCUGACCCUGGGUCGAGUGAACAUUGAUUACAAUUGGAAGAGUCUAGGAAUUCGGCCCAUAGCCAGAAUUCAGGAUAUCCAUGUAAAGAUAUAACAGACAGAUAUUAAUUCAUGGAAUUCGAUG
Mizuhopecten yessoensis (Yesso scallop) is the source of this 224-nucleotide long non-coding RNA. RefSeq lists it as uncharacterized. Lineage: Eukaryota; Metazoa; Mollusca; Bivalvia; Pectinida; Pectinidae. The transcript is spliced from 3 exons. The record is from RefSeq and is a predicted model, not a curated record.